UACGUAGGGUGCGAGCGUUGUCCGGAAUUAUUGGGCGUAAAGAGCUCGUAGGCGGUGUGUCACGUCGGCCGUGAAAACUUGGGGCUUAACUCUGAGCGUGCGGUCGAUACGGGCAUCACUUGAGUUCGGCAGGGGAGACUGGAAUUCCUGGUGUAGCGGUGAAAUGCGCAGAUAUCAGGAGGAACACCAGUGGCGAAGGCGGUGCUCUGGGCCGGAACUGACGCUGAGGAGCGAAAGCGUGGGGAGCAAACAGG
RNAcentral lists this ribosomal RNA (254 nucleotides) under uncultured bacterium. Its description in RNAcentral is "partial 16S ribosomal RNA". It matches the Rfam family "Bacterial small subunit ribosomal RNA", at positions 524 to 776 of the family's 1533-position model. The record is from RNAcentral.